GGGCGAAAGCCUGAUGCAGCGACGCCGCGUGAGGGAUGACGGCCUUCGGGUUGUAAACCUCUUUCAGCAGGGAAGAAGCGAAAGUGACGGUACCUGCAGAAGAAGCGCCGGCUAACUACGUGCCAGCAGCCGCGGUAAUACGUAGGGCGCGAGCGUUGUCCGGAAUUAUUGGGCGUAAAGAGCUCGUAGGCGGUCUGUCGCGUCGGAUGUGAAAGCCCGGGGCUUAACCCCGGGUCUGCAUUCGAUACGGGCAGACUAGAGUGUGGUAGGGGAGAUCGGAAUUCCUGGUGUAGCGGUGAAAUGCGCAGAUAUCAGGAGGAACACCGGUGGCGAAGGCGGAUCUCUGGGCCAUUACUGACGCUGAGGAGCGAAAGCGUGGGGAGCGAACAGGAUUAGAUACCCUGGUAGUCCACGCCGUAAACGGUGGGAACUAGGUGUUGGCGACAUUCCACGUCGUCGGUGCCGCAGCUAACGCAUUAAGUUCCCCGCCUGGGGAGUACGGCCGCAAGGCUAAAACUCAAAGGAAUUGACGGGG
This 535-nucleotide ribosomal RNA is filed under the name Streptomyces ossamyceticus. RNAcentral's name for it is "bacterial SSU rRNA". It matches the Rfam family "Bacterial small subunit ribosomal RNA", at positions 373 to 918 of the family's 1533-position model. The record is from RNAcentral. Lineage: Bacteria; Bacillati; Actinomycetota; Actinomycetes; Kitasatosporales; Streptomycetaceae.